RNAcentral lists this ribosomal RNA (89 nucleotides) under Dracula andreettae. RNAcentral's name for it is "5.8S ribosomal RNA". It matches the Rfam family "5.8S ribosomal RNA", at positions 3 to 91 of the family's 154-position model. From Rfam's summary of the family: 5.8S ribosomal RNA (5.8S rRNA) is a component of the large subunit of the eukaryotic ribosome. It is transcribed by RNA polymerase I as part of the 45S precursor that also contains 18S and 28S rRNA. RNAcentral also lists the same sequence under 42 other names. Lineage: Eukaryota; Viridiplantae; Streptophyta; Magnoliopsida; Asparagales; Orchidaceae. The record is from RNAcentral.
CUCUCGGCAAUGGAUAUCUCGGCUCUCGCAUCGAUGAAGAGCGCAGCGAAAUGCGAUACGUGGUGCGAAUUGCAGAAUCCCGCGAACCA